RNAcentral lists this ribosomal RNA (365 nucleotides) under uncultured bacterium. RNAcentral's name for it is "bacterial SSU rRNA". It matches the Rfam family "Bacterial small subunit ribosomal RNA", at positions 28 to 412 of the family's 1533-position model. The record is from RNAcentral.
GACGAACGCUGGCGGCGUGCUUAACACAUGCAAGUCGAGCGGUAAGGCCCUUUCGGGGGUACACGAGCGGCGAACGGGUGAGUAACACGUGGCUGGGAUAAGCCUGGGAAACCGGGUCUAAUACUGGAUAUGACUCCAUGACGCAUGUUGUGGGGUGGAAAGCCUUGUGCGGCUGAGGAUGGGCCCGCGGCCUAUCAGCUUGUUGGUGGGGUGAUGGCCUACCAAGGCGACGACGGGAGCCGGCCUGAGAGGGCGACCGGCCACACUGGGACUGAGACACGGCCCAGACUCCUACGGGAGGCAGCAGUGGGGAAUCUUGCGCAAUGGGCGAAAGCCUGACGCAGCGACGCCGCGUGAGGGAUGAC